CUUAUCUGAAAAUUCGGGUUACACUUAACUAGAUAUGCAGCGAGUCUGUAGUUGGUCUUCGGUUCGUAAAGCACUGUAAGUUGUGAGGAAGGGUUGUAGGCUCAUACGGUGCAAUUCUGACGUUUCCAUGACAAUAAGCCCCGGCACAUUUCGUUGCAGCAGCCGCGGUAAUACGAAGGGUGCAAGCGUUAAUCGGAAUUACUGGGCGUAAAGCGCGCGUAGGUGGUUCGUUAAGUUGGAAGUGAAAGCCCCGGGCUUAACCUGGGAAUUGCUUUCAAAACUGACGAGCUAGAGUACGGUAGAGGGUAGUGGAAUUUCCUGUGUAGCGGUGAAAUGCGUAGAUAUAGGAAGGAACACCAGUGGCGAAGGCGACUACCUGGACUGAUACUGACACUGAGGUGCGAAAGCGUGGGGAGCAAACA
This 422-nucleotide ribosomal RNA is filed under the name uncultured bacterium. Its description in RNAcentral is "partial 16S ribosomal RNA". It matches the Rfam family "Bacterial small subunit ribosomal RNA", at positions 359 to 774 of the family's 1533-position model. The record is from RNAcentral.